Molecule: microRNA, 22 nt
Filed under: Caenorhabditis elegans
Lineage: Eukaryota; Metazoa; Nematoda; Chromadorea; Rhabditida; Rhabditidae
Description: Cel-Mir-1823-v1_5p* (star (passenger))
Source: RNAcentral
ACCCCUAACCCUAUGCAGUAUU